RNAcentral lists this ribosomal RNA (500 nucleotides) under uncultured Eubacteriales bacterium. RNAcentral describes it as "uncultured Clostridiales bacterium partial 16S ribosomal RNA". The record is from RNAcentral. Lineage: Bacteria; Bacillati; Bacillota; Clostridia; Eubacteriales.
CACGUAGUUAGCCGGGGCUUCCUCCUAAGGUACCGUCAUCUUUUUCUUCCCUUAGGACAGAAUUUUACGACCCUAAGGCCUUCUUCAUUCACACGGCGUUGCUGCAUCAGGCUUUCGCCCAUUGUGCAAUAUUCCCCACUGCUGCCUCCCGUAGGAGUCUGGACCGUGUCUCAGUUCCAAUGUGGCCGCCUACCCUCUCAGGUCGGCUACUGAUCGUCGCCUUGGUGAGCCGUUACCUCACCAACUAACUAAUCAGACGCAGGCCCAUCCCAUACCGAAUUCUCUUUGACAUCUUUAACAUGUGUUAUCUAUGCUUUAUGAGGUAUUAAUCACCGUUUCCGGUGGCUAUCCCCCUGUAUGGGGCAGGUUGCCUACGCGUUACUCACCCGUCCGCCGCUUUCCCUUUUGUAAAUCUACCGAAGUUUCUUACAUAAGUUCUCGCUCGACUUGCAUGUGUUAGGCACGCCGCCAGCGUUCAUCCUGAGCCAGGAUCAAACUCU